RNAcentral lists this ribosomal RNA (465 nucleotides) under uncultured bacterium. Its description in RNAcentral is "partial 16S ribosomal RNA". It matches the Rfam family "Bacterial small subunit ribosomal RNA", at positions 28 to 507 of the family's 1533-position model. The record is from RNAcentral.
GACGAACGCUGGCGGCGUGCUUAACACAUGCAAGUCGAACGGAAAGGCCCCUUUGGGGGUACUCGAGUGGCGAACGGGUGAGUAACACGUGAGUAACCUGCCCUUGACUUCGGGAUAACUUCAGGAAACUGGGGCUAAUACCGGAUAGGAAUCCUUGCUGCAUGGUGGGGGUUGGAAAGCUUCGGGGGUUUUGGAUGGACUCGCGGCGUAUCAGCUUGUUGGUGGGGUAGUGGCUUACCAAGGCGUUGACGGGUAGCCGGCCUGCGAGGGCGACCGGCCACAUUGGGACCGAGAUACGGCCCAGACUCCUACGGGAGGCAGCAGUGGGGAAUAUUGCACAAUGGGCGGAAGCCUGAUGCAGCAACGCCGCGGGCGGGAGGACGGCCUUCUGGUUGAAAACCGCUUUCAGCAGGGGCGAAGCUUGUGGUGACGGUACCUGCAGAAGAAGCACCGGCUAACUACGUG